This 5575-nucleotide long non-coding RNA is filed under the name Sus scrofa (pig). RNAcentral's name for it is "lncRNA (ENSSSCG00035078627.1)". Lineage: Eukaryota; Metazoa; Chordata; Mammalia; Artiodactyla; Suidae. The record is from RNAcentral.
UUUUUUUCUUUUUUUUUCUUCUUAGGGACACACCCACGGCAUGUGGAAAUUCCCAGGCCAGGGGUGGAAUCAGAGUUACAGCUGCUGGCCUUCGCCACAGCCACAGCAACUUGGAAACUGAGCUGCAUCUGAGACCUACACAGCACUCACUGCAACACCUGACCGCUGACCCACUGAGUGAGGAGGCCAGGGAUUGAACCUGCAUCCUCAUGGAUACUAGUUGGAUUCGUUUCUGCUGCACCCCAACGGGAACUCCUUUCACCCCACUUUUAACAUUAACACAGUGACCCCUAUAGCUACUGAUAUUUACCAAUAUCAAAGAGAUGAUUUUGGUGUUAUUUCCAAUAAAUUGUUUAAAAAUAUGAGUGUAGUUAAUUGAUUAUGACUUCCUAGUAUAAUAGAAAGAACUUUCAAGAGAAAUUUCCUGCCUUUACUAUCAUUUUUCUGUACAUCUCAGGAUAAAUAUAAUUUUCCUUCACUUACAGAAUUAUCACUGUUGUUUUCAGUCUAUCAAAGCAUGUGAGACUAAGAUAUAGAAAAGUGAAAGACCAGUAUAUCUCCCUGUUUUAUUAGGACUGAGGAUUUCAGAGAAUGUAACAAUUUUCAUUACUGGAUUUUGUGGAUUCUUCUAGAUGUGAGAGGCAGUAUAACAUGAUGCUACUGUAAUACAGAUUGUGGACUCUGGAGGCACAAUCAAGCCUGGGUUUGACUGCAUCUCUGCUCUCAUUACUGUGUAUAAUCUUAGGCAGGUUACCUACCUUCUCUGUGCCUCCAUUUCCCCAAUUUAAAAGUGGCAAUAAUCAUAGAGAUUAUUUUCGUCAUCUUACACCUACAUAACUUGAGUCAAAAUCCUUGUAAUUUUUCAUCAAUACCUGGGAUAAAGAAAAAAAUGAAUACAUACAUUUAAUAUAUAAAACAAAGGUGUAGAUUAUCUAUUUCUGUUAAGGAAGAAACAACCUUCACAAAGUUAUCUCCAGAGCUUCGAUAGCUUGUUUACAUUACUUAGCAUACUAAAAGAGUACCAGUGUUGUGGAACCAGGAUUUAACAUUAGUUUGGUAUUCUUAUCUAAAGACCUUGUUCAAAUUUCACCAGUUUCUCUGCUCAUAUCCUUUCUCCAUUUCAAGGUGAAUAAGACAUAUUUGGAAACCAUCUACACUAUUUUUGCAACUUUUCUGUAAAUCUAAAAUGAGUUCAGAAUAAGGUCACUUUUACAUAGGAAAAAAGCGACAAAAGACAAAAAGUUUAGAAGAAUAAAAAUAAUAAUGCUUUGUUUUUCCCUCUUAAGAAACAUAAAUUGAUGAAUAAAAGUGAUGUCUUGGGACAAAAUUAUGUGAAAGGAUUUUUUACACAUAAAUUUUUUUUUGGGGGGGGGAUGUCUUUUGUCUUUUGAGGGCCACACUCAUGGCAUAUGGAGAUUCCCAGGCUGGGGGUCUAAUCGGAGCUGUUGCUGCCAACCUAUGCCAGAGCCACAGCAACACCAGAUCCGAGCCGCGUCUGCGACCUACACCACAGCUCACGGCAAUGCCAGAUCUUAACCCACUGAGCAAGGCCAGGGAUCGAACCCACAAUUUCAUGUUUCCUAGUUGGAUUUGUUUCCGCUGAGCCGCCACAGGAACUCCUACACAAACAAUUUUAGGAGAGAUACUCUGAAGCUACUCUGCCCAUAAACACUGAAGGGCUUACCAUAUAUUUGGCAAUGUAGCAGCAGCAGAAUUGGGGCAGGUAGAAAGCUUGAGAUCAUCUUAGUCUAAGACAAAAUUUUGGAGUUCCUGUCCUGGCACAGUGGUUAACGAAUUUGACUAGGAACCAUGAGGUUUCGGGUUCGAUCCCUGGACUUGCUCAGUGGGUUAAGGAUCUGACGUUGCCAUGAGCUGUGGUGUAGGUUGCAGACGAGGCUCGGAUCUCGAGUUGCUGUGGCUCUGGCAUAGGCCAGCAGCUACAGCUCCAAUUAGACCCCUAGCCUGGGAACCUCCAUAUGCCACAGGAAGCAGCCCUAGAAAAAGGCCAAAAAAAGACAAAAAAAUAAAAAAAUAAAAAAAAAUUUUAAGAAAAACUUCUGCUGCUGGCCUUAUCCAGCACCACCCCUCACCCAAAUUACUUUUAAUCUAAAUUUUUUUUAUUGUAUUUCAUUGGCUUCUUCUGUCUUUAACUCUGAUCCUUUUUUGCAACACACUUUUUGAUUGAUCUUCUUGAAUAUGGCUUUAUAUCAUGUGCUGCUAUAAAACUGUCAUUAUUUCAGCAUUUCUCAUUUAAUGACCCCUGAAAUGCAUAUUACUAGUGGUGAUUCUUUCUUUUUUUUUUUUUUUUUUUUUUUUCUUUUUCUUUUCAGGGCUAGUAUAUCCAUGGCAUAUGGAAGUUCCCAGGCUAGGGGUUGACGUGGAGCUCUAGCUGCAGGCCUAGGCCAGAGCCAUAGCAAUUCGGGAUCCAAGCGGUGUCUGUGACCACAGCUCACGCAACACCAGAUCCCGACCCACUGAGCAAGGCCAGGGAUGGAACCCACAUUCUUGUGGAUACUAGUUGGAUUCUUUUCCACUGUAUCACAACAGGAACUACCUGAUUCUUUAAAAAAAUUUAAAAAAAAAAUUUUUUUUUUCUCUUUAGGGCCAUGCCAACAGCAUAUGGAAGUUCCCAGGCUAGGGGUCUAAUUUGAGCUACAGCUGCCAGCCUUCACCACAGCCACAGCAACGUAGGAUCCAAGCCUUGUCUGCGACCUACACCACAGCUAACCGCAAUGCCGGAUCCUUAACCCACUGAGAAGAGCCAGGGAUCGAACCUGUGCCCUCAUGGAUACUAGUUGGGUUCAUUUCCACUGAGCCACGACAGGAACUCUAAUAGUGCUUAUUCUUGAAUAGAACCUCAGACCUAAAGAAUCAGAGUUUCUGGACAAUGGUCUCGGGAAUCUGCUUUUCCACAAAUCAGCCUAGGUCUAACUUGCUAGACCUCCAGGAAGGAGGCAGGAUAUCUGUGCUUCUAAAACCAAGAGCCAUGGUACCAUGGGAGCCCUAGACAACGGAAGAGAAUCAACAAACAAAAGAAAGUAAUGAUGCAGGGCUGAGCCAGUCAUGUAUGUGUGGGCUUCAGGGAGGUCAAAGUUUUGGUGAACGAGGGAGUUGGUGAGCCACAAAUGUCUGGUUUGGAUCAGCAAGGUGAAGGGCUUCAGGAAGGGGAGGGCCGGCACUGAGAAAAGAGAUUUGUCUGUUUUUCACUUUGGACCCUAAUGAGAGUCAGUCUUUAGCACAUCUAGAUGAGAUAUCUUCAGGGCAUAACCAUGGGUGGGAACAGGAAAUUCAGGGGCCAUAAAUGCUCUGGAUGGUCCUUGGCUGUUCUUAAAAGUCCAUAGAACAGGGAGUGGCAGGACUAGGACUGGAGUGAAUUCCCUUUCAUCUCCAUUACCAAUUGCCUGAUAGGACCUGGUCUUUGAAAUGUGGUAUAUUAAAUACAUAUAUAGACACAUACAGCAGCCCCGUGCAUUGUUUUUAGUGAUGUUGAUUAAAAAAAUCUUGUGAUACAUAUUUCUUACCAUAAUAUUAACCUAUAAUUGGGUAGAGAAAUCCUUGUUCUUCUCCUUCCCUUGGAAUAGAAAAUAUAAUUCCAUGCUCCACAGGGAGUCCCAGUAUCAAAGGGAUUAUUUUGUAUGAUUCCAGGAGCAGCACUUGUGUUUGUCCCUACAGUUGCUGGGCAGUCACAUCACUAUGCAUGUGCAAGGUCCAUCUUCAUAGCUAAAAUGUUGAAAGAGAUCACAGAUUGAUCCCCACCCCUGGUUAGUCAAGGGUGAAAUAGUAUUUGCUCCUCAGUGGAAAAUUUCCACUUCUCAGGCUUGGCAUUUGGAGGCCUAGGACAAGAACAUUUAUUUCACAGCAGUGGGCAUUUAACUUUUAAGGCCGUGUUUUACUUGUGUUGGUUUGUCAUUGGAUAGGCCCCCAGUAUCACAGGAAGUCAUUUUGGCAGAAAGGAAAAAUAUAAUCUUGGCAGAGCAUAGACUACAACAUCAUUGCUUUUUUAAGAUGGCACUCUAAUAUCUCCUAUAUGGAGUCUUCCUCAAUUCUUGCAGCCAAAUGUGGGCACUUUUCCUCUGCAUUCCUCUGCAAAUCUCUCUGUAUUUCUCAUAUCACUUAUCACAUUCUAGUUAUAUUGUACCACCUUGUUAUUACUUUUUAGUAUAACAUAGGGCUUAAACCUGAUUUAGAACUUGGACUUGGAAUUUAUAGACAUCUGAGUUUGAAUAUUUGCUUGGAUACUUACAGGUUAUGUGACUUGGACAUGUUUCCUAACUCUGUUUAUUCACCUGUAACAUGAAGAUAAAAAUAGCAUGUAGCCUUUAGAAUAAUUGUGAAAAGUAAGAAUUAAGUAUCCAGUGCAGAAUAAUCUCCCAAUAAAUAUUGCCUUUUUUAUCAAUAUCUCUCUAAUUUAUAUGAUUGUUUUUAAUGAGCAAAACUCAUGUUUUAUUCAAUAAUAUAAUAGCCCAGUAGCCCAUGAAAUAGGGUCUUACAUAAAAUAAGAGAUAACAUCUCUUGAUAAGAGAAUGAUGAGGCCUUGAGAUUAUGAAACAUUAAAAGAAGAUACAAAGAGAAACUCAGGAAGGAGCCUUGCAAGAAUUUGCUUUGCAUUUGGUUAUAAUCUCAAUGUACUAUAGUCAUCAUUAUUUCAUUUAACCAAAAUGACCCUGAAAGAAAGAGAUUAAUUUGUCCAUUUCCUCUUAAAAGGAAACUAAGUCUUAAGAAUUUAAGUGAGUUGUCUCAGUGGCACAGGUGGCAAAGGGAGGAGUUGGGCUUUGAGCAAACCCUGGUUCCAUGACCCUCUCCACUUGACCUUGGCCGUCCAUGUUUGUUGGCUCCUUGUCCCGUAAAGGACUUGUUGGUGCACAGCCUCUUUUCUCACCUUUGUGAGUCCUUAGCACCUGCCCCAGGGAUUCUCUGUCAUACAGGGUCUAACAGGGUCAGUCAGAUUACUUAAAAUCUAAUUUGGAGGACUGCAUGCUUAAUCCAAUCAAUUGUGUGCUAAUCAGCCAUUAAAAUGGCUCACAGCACAAACCCCAGAAGCCUUGGGGAUUCACUGGUCAUACAAACAAGACCAUCUGAGAAACUGAGAGAGAAGAGCCUCUUCUAUGUUCUCUAUUUGUUCCUACACUUCCCUUUUUCUUUUAGCUUUACCUCAUUUCCUUUUCGGACAUAGGAAGUUCUUUUUUUUUUUUUCCUUUUUCCAGCUUUAUUGAGGUAUAAUUGACAAAAAAAAAUUGUAAAUAUUUAAGGAGUGCAUCAUGAUGAUUUGAUAUAUGUGAAAUUAUUAUCAUAGUCAAGCUAAUUGAUAUAACCUUCAUUUCUCAUAGUUUUAUAUAUAUACAUGUAUAUUUUGUGUGUGGUAAAAACACUUAAGUUCUACUCUCUUAGGAAGCUUCAGGUAUACAAAUCAGUAUUAUUACUAUAGUCACUAUACUAUGUAUCUGAUCUUCAGGAAGUUUUUUUUAUAUUCUUUAGAUCUAAGGCUCUGCCCAGAAUUCAUCUCUGCCAGGAUUCACCUCUAUAUGAACUUAAGGAAAGAAUUAAGGUGAAAUUUGCUGAAUAACUUCUAUGUACU